GACGAACGCUGGCGGCGUGCUUAACACAUGCAAGUCGAACGGUAAGGCCUUUCGGGGUACCCGAGUGGCGAACGGGUGAGUAACACGUGGGUGAUCUGCCCUGCACUUCGGGAUAAGCCCGGGAAACUGGGUCUAAUACCGGAUAGGACUGCGCGGUGCAUGCCGUGUGGUGGAAAGAUUUAUCGGUGCAGGAUGGGCCCGCGGCCUAUCAGCUUGUUGGUGGGGUAAUGGCCUACCAAGGCGACGACGGGUAGCCGGCCUGAGAGGGCGACCGGCCACACUGGGACUGAGACACGGCCCAGACUCCUACGGGAGGCAGCAGUGGGGAAUAUUGCACAAUGGGCGCAAGCCUGAUGCAGCGACGCCGCGUGAGGGAUGACGGCCUUCGGGUUGUAAACCUCUUUCAGCAGGGACGAAGCGUGAGUGACGGUACCUGCAGAAGAAGCACCGGCCAACUACGUG
Molecule: ribosomal RNA, 462 nt
Filed under: uncultured bacterium
Lineage: Bacteria
Description: partial 16S ribosomal RNA
Rfam family: Bacterial small subunit ribosomal RNA
Source: RNAcentral